This 63-nucleotide transfer RNA is filed under the name Drilonius striatulus. Its description in RNAcentral is "tRNA-Ala". Lineage: Eukaryota; Metazoa; Arthropoda; Insecta; Coleoptera; Omethidae. The record is from RNAcentral.
AGGAUAAUAGUUUAAUUAAAACACUUAACUUGCAAUUAAGAAAUAUUGUAGUCAUAUUAUCUU